AAUUUUCAUUGAUGGGGCAAAUAGCAUCACGUUUUGUGUUCAAAAACAGGGAAGCUUCCUAAGUCCGAUGGCUGCUGCUGCAGUGCGUUCAUUUGGUGUUGUAUAGCAACAGCAUUUAUUGAUCUGUAUUCCAUUCCAGAGUAGUACCAUACAAAAAUAGUAGAGCUCAUGGCUAUGUGGCCUUUGAGUGAUAUCCUGCUAGUGCAGCUUUUGAUCAUGUUAUCUCCUGCAUGCUUCCUAGAAGCUCAAACUUCUUACUCCACAGCACAAAAUUAUUACCCAUCAUGGACAAACAAUUUGUCCAUUCCAGCGAGAGGCUUUGAUUCCUACCAAAUGAUCUUGAUUAGUGAGUCUGUGUCUUUUGCUUGUGGAUUUUACUCCAAAGACCAGGAAAAUGAUUCCUUUUAUUUAGCAGUAUUAUCACUCAACAAACAUAUGCAGGAGCUAUUCUUUAAUUUCACUCUUCAGCAUGUCAUAUGGUUGGCAAAUGAAAAUAAGCCUGUUGGACGGAACGCAACUCUAAAGUUACUUCCAGAAGGAAAUUUGGUUCUGAGAGAUGCAGAUGGAGCUUUAGUCUGGUCUACCAACACGUCUAACAUGUCUGUUGCAGGUAUAAAGAUGAUGAAACAGGGAUGCUUGUGCUUCAAGACCACAAUAAUAAGACUGUGUGGCAAUCUUUAGUAAUACAGCACAUGUGUCCACUUCAUGGACGAAUAAUGACCCAUAUCAGCCAUGCCUUUUAAUCUAUUUAAAAUAAUCAUGAUGCACGGAGCUGGUUUUUUUGUGGAUUUCUCUCCAAGGACCGGAAUUCUUCUAUUUUGCAUAUGGAAGUCGGAAUAUUCUGGAGAUGAUGAUCCGGAGGCCUUAUGGUUAGCAAACAGAAACAGGCCUGUUGGUGAGAACGCAACUUUACAAUUUUUACCAGAUGGAGAUUUGGUUCUGAGAGAUGCAGAUGGAGCUUUCGUCUGGUCUACCAACACGUCUAACAUGUCUGUUGCGGGUAUGAGGAUGAUGGAAACUGGAACUUGUGCUUCAAGACCACAAUAAUAAGAUUGUGUGGCAAUCUUUUGUAAUACAGCACAUGUGUCCACUUCAUGGACGAAUAAUGAUCCCAAUCAGCCAUGCCUUAUAAUCUAUAUAAAUAAUCAUGAUGCACGGAGCUCCUUUUUCUUGUGGAUUUCACUCCAAGGACCGGAAUUCCUUCUAUUUUGCAAUAUGGAAGAAUCGGAAGUUUCUGGAGAUGAUGAUUCCGGAGGCCUUAUGGUUAGCAAACAGAAACAGGCCUGUUGUGAGAACGCAACUUUACAAUUUUUUACCAGAUGGAGAUUUGGUCUUGAGAGAUGCUGAUGGAACUUUCUGGUCUACUAAACAUCUAGCAUGUCUGUUGCGGGUAUGAGGAUGAUGGAAACUGGAAACCUUGAGCUUUAUGAUGUCAAUAACAAGACUGUUUGGAAUUCAUUUGAUCAUCCUUCUGAUGUACUGCUUCUUGGGAACAAAUUAGUGGUGGGUCAGAAGCUGGUGGCAAGUGUUUCGAAAACUAAUAGAUCUGAAGGUGUCUUCAGCCUCUCUGUGAUCCCACAAGGUUUGUUUGCUUCUUACCAAGCUACUGCGCCACAAAAGUACUUCAAAUUUCAGUUUUGGGGGCAUAGACAGCCUCCAACUAAGUCAUGAUGAAUCCUCUGGUAAUCUUGCUUUACUUAUAAUCAGCUUCACCUGAUGAGCCGAAUACAACUUAGCAAGCACCAUUAAAUACUCAGCGACGGCUUACAUGAAAUUUGAUCCUGAUGGGCAUCUCAGAAUUUAUGAUGGAAACAUGAUUGACGGGGUUGAUCUGUUGACAGAUAUGAUGAGUGCAUGUGAUUACCCAACAGCUUGUGGUAAUUAUGGGCUGUGCUUCAAAGGGCUGUGCUCGUGCCCAGCAGGAUUUGCUCAAGCCAAUACCCCAAAUGAUCAAGGCAACUACAGUUGCUCGCCGAAUAGUCCAACCACAUGUGAAAAUCCAAAAUCCUAUUCUCUUCUUCCCCUGGAAGAUGUCUACUAUUUCAAUUAUGUUGACCCUGAGGCAGCAGUCCUGAAAGGAACAGACAUGAAGAGUUGUAAAGAUGCAUGUUUGAAAAACUGUGCAUGCAACGCUGCUCUAUUUCAGUAUUACGUUAAUGUUUCUCAUGGGAAUUGUUUUUUGCCCUCACCAGUUCUCACACUAAUAGGUGAUGGUAAGGAAAGAAAAAGUUACCAUUCUAAUGCCUUCAUCAAAAUUUCUAAUGAUGGAGAGAAUGGAAGUGCUUUUACAUCUUCUAUCAAUCCUAAAAUAAUAGCAGGAUCAACUAUUGGAGCCAUCCUUGUUAUGAGUUUAAUUGUUGGUCUAUGUAUUAUGGUUUGGAGGAAGAAAAGAGAUCGAGAGGAAGGAAUGGAAGACUUGAAUCAACUAUCAGGAAUGCCCAUGAGAUUCACAUACCAAGAACUAAGAGUGGCAACUUGGGAUUUUGAGAAGAAGCUUGGAGGAGGAGGGUUUGGAUCAGUUUUUGAAGGAAUUCUAGAAAAUGGAGAAAAAAUUGCAGUAAAGCGCCUAGAUGCUUUAGGCCAAGGGCAGAAGGAAUUCUUGGCUGAGGUCAAAAGUAUAGGAAGCAUCCAUCAUGUCAGCCUGGCGAGGCUAAUUGGAUUCUGUGCUGAUAAAUUGCACACGCUUUUAGUCUAUGAGUUCAUGUGCUGUGGGUCUUUGGAUAAGUGGAUUUUCUGCAGGGAACCACUACUACAUCCUCUGGACUUCCAAACUAGAAGAAACAUUAUCAUGGAUGUAGCAAAGGGGCUGGCCUAUCUCCAUGAAGAAUGCAGACAAAGAAUAGUCCACUUAGACAUCAAACCACAAAACAUUUUGUUGGAUGAAAAUCUGCAUGCUAAGAUCUCUGAUUUUGGCUUGUCUAAGUUGAUUGACAGGGAUCAAAGUCAAGUGGUGACCACAAUGAGAGGAACUCCUGGGUACUUGGCUCCUGAAUUAUUCAGCUCAGUCAUCACAGAGAAGGCAGAUGUUUAUAGUUUUGGAAUCGUAGUCAUGGAAGUUGUCUGCGGAAAGAAAAAUCUGGAUAGGUCACAGCCAGCUGAGUGCAUGCAUUUGCUCCCUAUUCUUAUGAAGAGGGCACAGGAGGAUCAAUUGAUUGAUAUGGUUGACAAUAGCAGUGAGGAUAUGCAAUUGCACAGGUUAGAAGCUGCGGAGAUGAUGAGGGUUGCUAUUUGGUGUCUGCAAAGUGAUCACACCAGGAGGCCUAGCAUGUCAACCGUGGUUAAGGUCUUAGAGGGCACCAUGGGUGUUGAAGCAGACCUAGACUAUUGCCUUCAGAAUGCAACAACAAUGGCAGCAAUAAGAAGAGAGGCAGAGCUGGGCGGUACUGCCACAUUGCUGCCAUCACUACUAUCAGGACCGAGGUGAAGAAAGAUCUUUUGCGAUAUAUAUGUGGUGUUUAUGUUUCUCUGAUAGGUGUUUUACCUUCAGUUCUCUUUAUAUCGCUAUUGUAAUGUUAUCUGGGAAAUUGUUCAAUUAGCAUAAAGUGUGACAGGAAAGCAUGAAAAACUGCAAGAAACUGCUGGCUACAAUUAGCUGCUUACUACAAGUAAAAUAACUACUCAGUAAAUUCUAGCUCCAAGUAUAUCACUGCAAUGAUUAUAACUUCUCUGGCAUUUAAAGCCAAGACAUGCCAUCAGUUUUCAGUUAAAGUUUUUGAGGUAAAGAAUUACUUUUAUAGCUAACAAAGAGCCAAAUAUACAUGAUUCCAGUUAACUUGUUACUAUCAACUUUGUGCUGAUUCUUUUCAGAAAAAUCAUAUCGAAGGCAUUUGAUUGAAUUGUGUUGACUUAGCAUGGAAAAUUGAAGCUACCUCCCCAGAAACCUCUUUUCUUUUCUUUUUUUUGUUCUUGAAGCUGCAAUUUUUCUUCGCCAAUCGCUACUCAUUGCUCAGGUAUAAUGAUGUCAAAGUCACUAACAGUCCAUUCAGCAACUUGAUUAGGGGCCUUGAAUAUCUCUGUUCCUAAAUCAAUGGACAUCCACUGCCUCCUAGCCGGAGAAGUCCCAGGAUCCUGCAAAAUAAGUAAUAGCCGCCACAUGUUCAUGUCAAAGAGCUUUGUCCAUUUUAAUAAUUCAUCAUGUCACUUCCUUUCGGCCUCUGUACAAAUUUCCUUCCGUUUCUAGGAUGCAGGAUUAUAUCUAGUGACUUCGAGUUUUGAAAAAACUAGUAAAUUUGAAGCUCUGAAUCUGUGCUAAGGCCAUUUAAUCCAUAAGAGAAAAGUGAAAGACAGAAAAGCAAACCUGGUAGAAGUAAAGUGAUUGCGACAACCUCCCAACAUCAAGUUCCCAAGUUCUCGGGUCACCAAUCCAACCCUCACCUUGCUUGGUAGGAUAUCCAUACUCAACCCAAACUGGAUGUGGCAAAAUCUGUAGUAUCUCCUGAGGCUGAGGAUUGCUAUAGGGAUCGCACAAACUAUAAGGAACUUCAAGAUGCUCUGCGUUCCCCGGAGAACAGUACAAGUGAUAGGCGGCAUAAGGGAAGCGAGCAGUGUCAUUGCGAUGGAUACGUGUUCCAUCGGGAAAUGUAUGGUAAGGAGGGCACACAUUGAGGUUGGUUGGAUGGCACCAUGAACUUAUGUUUGGAUUUAUGAUCAUUUCGCUGUAUCGAGUGACAUCUGAAGUAACAUUUCCAUCACAAGGUUUCCCAUCGUUCUUCCAACAGCUUCCCAUGUCCAUCAGGUAGAACUGGCUGCUAGGACCCCCACCAUUGAUUACAUUUAAAGUGAACCUUACUUUGAAGUUUGGUGAUUCUGGGAUCUGCAUAUAGUGCACGUCAACUCCAUCACUCACAAGUUUGUUUGGCUUGUAAGUAAAACCUGCAUUAGUGCAUGAUACAGACUAUUUUUUUCAACCCCUAGAUGUCACUCGUGUAAACCCACCUCCCCUGUGAAAUGUUUGCAGGAUUUGACCUACAUUUCAAUCUAUUUCUGUGCAUCAUAAUAUUUUAUCUACAUCGGAGGCUUGGCAGAAACAAAGAAAAGGUUUGGCACUCCCUUUGUUUGUAUUUAAACUGUUGAGGAAUUUGAAUUAUGUAUAUUAAUUAGAUCAAAGAAUGAAAAGGAGCACUCACAAUUUUAUAUUUUUAUUUGUGUCUUUAUCUUUAUAUUUUUCUCAUAUAUAUUGAAAAAACUCUUCAAAACUCAAAGAAAAAAAUUGAAAAUAAUAUAAUACCCUAUGUAUUUGUGUUGCAUAUAGAUUUCAUUUGAAGAAAGAACUUCUUUAGAUAGUUCUCACAUGAUAGGAGAAGUAUUUUUAAUUUUUCAAUAUUAAAUAUAAGUACUAGUAUAUCCUUAAUAAUUUGCUCGCAUAUACUUUCACAUAUAAUACAAAUGAAUUCUUUAAAAUAAAACAAAUAUUAAAAACUAUAAUGAUGAUAUUAUUAUGUUAAAACUUAAAGGAGCCUCAAAUACAAUUUUUGUUCAUAUCAUACAUUUUAUGUAUUUGUAUUAGAUAUAAAUUUUAUUUUAAUUUUUUUUUUUUAGAUAAAAGAACUCACAAAUUAUAAUAUGAUUGUAACUUUGGUAGGAAAAGAUAUUUUGACUUUGUAAUGUUUAAAUAUAAAUAUUAAUAUGAGAUCCAAUGUUUUAUUAAGAGUUUUUUUUUUUUAGAAACUUUGGGAUGAUAAAGGGUGUUAAUAGGCUGGGUUUUGAUAUUACUCAUAAAUAAAUUCAAAUACAAACUAUUAUUCAAACCCAACCCUUUACCUAGAAGAUAUAAAUUUUAGAUACCCAACUUAACUCGAUUAUGUUUUAAUUGUCCAUUCAAGUACCUGUUAUUCGACUAGUACAAUAAAAUACAAAUAUAAAAGAAACCAAUGAAUUUAUUUAACGAAUUAGCUAAAAGAGUAUCCAAUCAAAACUCCAAAGUAAAUGUACUAAUAAAGCUAACAAAAUCUGGACUAAGAUCAUAAUAAAUCCAAAUUCCAAGAUAAAUUUGAUUAAAAUACUAAUCAAUUAUUGGAUAAAAAAGAAAAAAAAAAGUAGUUUUAAAGUACUUAUACAAAGGAAUAAACUAAAAUAAAAUGAGGGCUAGGAACAAUAAAAUAUAUAUAUAUAUAUAUAUAUAUAUAUAUAUAUAUAUAUAUAGCAGAAGACACAUUUCACCAUGGAUUUCAACAAUGAAUUUAAUAUUUUGACCAUGAUUCAAAUAACAAAUGACCUUGCUUAGGAGAUUAUUAGGGUCUUUUAAAUAGUAAAACUACUAAAUUGCCCUUAAAGACAAGAUUAUAUCUAUUUAGUUUAGGGGUAUUAUCAGUUUUUUAUAUUUGAGUGCAUGUUAAAAUUACUUAAAUGCCCUUUAAGUCAACAAAAUAAAAGCUUUUGGUGAAGGGGUAUUUAUGUGUUUUUAAGUUUGUUUUUAUUAUUUUUUAUCAAGGGAAUUAUUUUAUUUUACCAUAAUUAAAUAAUAUUAAAUUUUAAAAAGUUGUUGGUGCUUGAGAGGCGCCAACGCACUUCGGGCGGUGCGUGUUGCGCCUCCUAGUGGUGGAACUUGUCUUUCCACCUUGUUGUUUGAUGUGUCAUCAUGUUAUCUUUCUUCUAGUAUGACGCGUGUCAUCGAUAGUUGAGCGGUUUGUCGAUGAUGAGUUUUUCUUUUUUCUUCUCCUUCCUUUCUCGCUCUUCCUCCAAACAUUGCUUAUUGGUCUUCUUUGUUUUUUAUAUUUAUACUUCGGUCUUUUUUUUUUUUAUUUCUUAUGUUUUUCCUUGGCUCUUUAAUAAGAGUGUAUUUUCUUUCAAUUUAUUCCUUCAUUUCUUAUUUGUAACAUAUUAUGUUUUUCAAUUUGAUCAUUAUUCUUUUGAUUUUUUAUUUUUUUCACUAGUUCCUUUUGUAAAAGUUACAUUUUUUUUUCAAUUUCACCCUUCAAUCCAAGUUUAUUUUGUGUUACUGUUUUCAAUUUGAUCAUUAUUUAUUAUUAUUUUUCCUUUUUGUUGGAGUUAUUUUUCUUUUUAAUUUAACCCUCCAAUCUAAAAUUUGUGUCUUUUUUCUUUUUGUAAAAGUUUAUUUCUUUUCGAUUUAGUCCUUCAAUUUUAAUUUGUCAUGUGUAUAUAUUUUUUACUGGUCCUUAUUUUUUUGAUUUCUGAUUUUUUUAUUAACCCUUUUAUUAAAAUUUUAUUAUUUUUCAUUCCCACCCUUCAAUCCAAGUUCACAAUGUGUUAUUUUUUUCAAUUUUGUCCUUAUUACUUUUUUUUUUGUUUGAGUUAUUUUUCUUUUUAAUUUAAUACUCCAGUCGAGAAAUUCUAGUUGCCCUCUCAUUUAUUGUUUCUCUCAAUUUUCACCCUUAUUGUUUUAAUUAUUAUUAUUUUUUAUUUUAGAUCAUUUUAUUUAAUUACUUUUUUUCCUUGUUACUUUCUUUAACGUUUGUUGACUCAAUCCAUUUUUUUUUUGUCUCUUUUUAUCUACUUUUUUGCUUCCAUAGAUUUGUUUUCCAAGGUAUUGUGAUCAUUUUUGUUUCAAAAUUGUUUGAUUAAUAUCAUAGCCUUUUCUUUUAUCAUCUAAUUAAAAUAAAACAAACAUAUUAAACCCAUUCAGUGUUAUAACUUGAGUCAAUGAUUUCUUUUAUUUAUUUGAAAUGCACUUGCAGCACCGAAACAUCUUUUUUUUAUGAAAAAAUAUAGACUCGUAGCAUAACGUGUGCCCGUGUCUAGUCUAGAGCUAAUAGCCAAAGAAUUUAAGUCGAUAAUUGUUUCCACUACUUUCAUUAUCUUUAUAUAUAGAUAAUGCCAUGGAUGGAAUUUUUCCAAACUUUAAGAACAUAAAAAAAUUUCAAGUCAAGUUUCAUGUAGGGUAAAGCAAUAUUCAUUACUAAUCCUAAACCUAACUUUGUCUUUACUAUCCAAACCCGAACCCAAACUUGUUGAGUAUGGAUACAAAUGGAAAGAAUCAAACAUGGGUGCAUGAUGGCUUUCAUUAUUGACAAAAUAUAGAGGCAGGUGGCUGCCAUUAUUGAUUGAACAUGAAGAAGCUUGUUCCAUGUUCUUAGAGAGGGUUUAUAAGAACAAAAUAUGCACUAGAUUGAGCAAAAACAAUAAAGGUAGAUGCAUUAAGAGCAUCAACAAGUAAACUUAGAAAGAUAAAUAGAUGUGAAGAAAUUAUAGACACAUGUUGGGAGUUGAGUGAUAGUAUUUCUCCUUAAUUAUUGUAAUUUAUAUUCUCUCUAUAUAAUAAAAUGAGUUGUUUAAGGGAUGUAGGCAAUUGUAAAACUAUAUAAAAAUAUUGCAUUUAAUGUAUAGGAAUCAAUUUCUUGAUCUUAACAACUAGUAUCAAAGCUUUGAAAAAAAAACAUAAGGCUUUUUUUUUUUUUUUGCUUAGAAAUAAAAGAGGUCAAAAAUAUAUAUUGAACAUACCAUUGUAACGAGGAGGCCAAUAUGAACUUAAUGGUGAAAACAAAGCUUAAAAUAGAUGUUGAACAAUGAUACAUGCUUUAAUAUGUGUCAGCAAGGGAGAAUGCUGUGAAACUCUCCUUAAAUGUCAUCUUCACUUGAACAACAAUCAACAUGACUUGAACCUAAUAACCUUCUUGAAUGAUGCAACCUAAUUCCACACAUCAAUAACAAUUUAUCGUGAUGUCAACAUGACAUCAAUACCAUAUUAAUAGGAGGCCCACAUACCCCAUCAGUAGUUUAGGGUCAACACAUAGCCAAACCAGUUUAGUAGAGCUAAAGUUAAGCCGAGCUAAGUCACUAAAAUGAGAGCAGUGAUUCAACGAUAAAAAGGUCUUAGUUAAAAUUAUUGUUGUUGGAUUAACUUUAAGAGCAAAUACUCACUUAAAGUUGAUCAUACCUUUUUUCAAUGGGAAAAGAAUUAGAUCUUAAAUGCUCAAAGCUAAAAUUCUCAAACGAAUCUCAUUCUUUUCAUCAUGAAAUCUCUUCUUAAAUAUAGGCUUUGAUGUAUUCUAGAACCAACCUUGAUUGAAACCCCCACUUAGUCAUCUUUUCUGCAACCAUUUUUUACUUAAUUUUAGUCAACCAAAUAUAAUUUGAUAGAGUAUAGUCUAUUGGUUUAUAGAAAUACUCCAAGUUUAAUUUUGAACAAUCCAAGAGAGAAUCGUAUUCAUCAAGGGUGAGAAUGAUAUCUAUAAUGUCAAAGGUGAAACACUUGUAUUUUGGAUCCCAAAACCCUAUCAUAGCUUAGAAAUAUAAGUGUUGCACUCUAAUCUUAAGCAACGGAGUUAUAUCUCCAUAUUGAUUUUAGAAUGCAAUUUGAUCUUGUAAGGACAACAUCUCACAAUAAUCCAAUAAUUGGCUAGCAUUAGGCAUUAUUUUUUUCAGCUUCACUCACUCUAGUAGUUUGGACUCAAGUCUUAUUGGUAAGCAACCCCUUUAUCACAUUGACCUUUUUCUAACCCAGUACUCGUGUCCUUAAUGGUAAUCAUAUUAUGUCCCUUAAUUUCUCUUUCUUUUUUUUUUAUUAAACAUUAGUGGAGAUCUAAUAAAUUACAAUUCAAAAGCUAGAUAAACUAUUAAAUAAAAAGCAAAUGAUUUAGGCAAAAGUGGAAUGUAUGCUAGGCUUUUAGACAAACAGACUUUUGUAAGAGUGAUGCAGUUUUAAUGAUAUUGUAAUACUCAAAGUAUAAAGACAAGAGCAAAUUAAGGCUUCCUCUAUGGUUAAAAUGGAAAGCUAGUUAAACUCUUGGACGAAUAGCUAAUGACUAAUAGAGUAGUAACAUAUGAUUGCUAGGUUAGAGUAAAUGGUAAGCUCACACUCUUGGAUGAGUAAUAAUCUCUUAAUCACGUUGUAAUACUCAGACAAUGACUAUCACAUUUAAGACCAUGGAUAAAAUUUGUAGAGGGAAAAUUAUGAUUGAAUGGGUCAAACUCUUGUGAAUGAUACAUUCUAUCAAGUUGCUAAGGAAGAUAAAGCCUAAAAAGCCAAUUGAGCUCAUAUAAAAGAAAAUAGCAUGAUGAUAUUAGUUGAAAGAUAGAUAUUUUUGGAUGAUUUUGAUAUUUAUAUUAAAAAUUUUAAAAAUAUUAUUUUAAUAUAUUUUUAAUUAAAAAUCACUUUUAGUUAUAAUACCAAACAUCUAGUACUGUUGUUGAGGGCUAUCCCUUGCUAUGAUGGUGCAUAACCCAGGCUAUUAUGUCUUAUUUGUUUUUGUGUUUUAGAAGCGUUAUUGAAAAAAAUAGAAUUUUUUUUGCUUCAAAUUAAUAUUUUUUUUGAUGUUUUCAGAUCAUUUUAAUAUGAUGAUGUCAAAAAUUAUUAUUUUUUAUUUUAAUGUAUUUCCAAUCAAAAAACACUUUAAAAAACAACUAAUACAAUAUUUGCAAACAUUUCCUAAACAGGAAAAUAAAUGAUUGUUCUCUUGCAAAAAUUCAAAAGGAAAAGCUAGCCUUCCAAAUAGUCGUGCUCAAAUCUGGUUUCAUUGGUUGGAAUGCGGAAACUAGUUGAUAAAAAUAGUAUCAGGGUCAUUAUCCAACGACAGGUGGCCGUGACCAAGCAUGGGUACAAUUAAUCAAGAAACUGAGCAAGGACCCAAUGCCGACGACUCUGGGAACGAAAGUAGUUAUCACCGGUCAAUCCUUGUAUUUUUGGGUCAAUAAUGGCUGCAAGCCGUAUUGCUUGACGAGGACUAUUUAAGUAUUAUUCUCGACCUCUUAUUUAUUUAUUUUGGAUUUUUUCUGCUGGUGGGUCUAUAAUGUUUUCUUAUAACUGAAAUCUGUAAACAGAAACAUUUUAUUUAUUUUCCGCGUCAAGAAAGUUAAGUAACACAAUCACCCACUCCACUAGGUCUCGCUCCUUCUGCUGUUAAUCCAAUUCCAAAUAUUUAUGGAGAAAAAAAAUAUUAAUCUUUAUUUACAGUGAUGGAGCCACGUAAGAGUAAAAAAAGGCAAUUACCCUUUUAAUUUUUUUUAAAAUAUUUGACCUAUACUGACCCGUCAAGGAUAAGAAAAAGAUGAAAAAUCUAAAACAUUUUUAUUGCACAUAUUUAAAUGCAAUUUCUUUGGAAUUAGAGAAAUCUACACGGAAUACAUUAAAAUAUUAAUAUAAUAAUAUGGUGAGGGGUUGAUACAUAGUUAUUAUUGUUGACUUGUGUCUUAAUAUAAUAAAUAAUAUAUAUAAUAUAUAUGCAACACCCCAGCUCAUUUCUCAUUUCCCCAAACUUUUUUUUUUUUUCGCUUACUAUUCAAGAGCUUUUUUACUCUUUUUUAGUUGCUCUCUUCCUUAUACAAAUUUUUUUUUUCAAGUCAGUUUGGCAACUUUAGGUAACAAAUUUUCAUUUUUUUUAUUUGUUUUAUUAUUUAAUUUUAGUUUUAUUUUUUUAUAAUUAGUUAUUAAAAAUGUUAGGGUUUAUAAUAAUUUAAAGGUUUUGAUAUAUAUAAUAUUUUGAAUCAAUUAAAGAUAAAUGGUAGUGAAUUAGACUGCAAGAUUUUGAACAAUAGGUAUUUAUUUGAUUGUUUUGAAUUAAUUAAAGGUUAUAUCAGUUCUAAUUGAAUUGAUUAUGAUAUGGAACUAAACUUUUUCACGAGAUAAACAAGCAAACAUUCAAAUUGUUGUCAACAAGUAAAGAUUGAUAUUUACAAAAUUAAAAUUGUUUUAGCUUGAGAUUGGUCAUUUUUACGAUGUUAAUUUCCUUUUUAUUAUUGAAUAAUUCAUAUUUUAUUUGUUUUUUUUCUCUUUUUUUUUUCAUCAAACAAUUUGUGUUUUGCUGGAGAAAAAUUAACGCGUGCGUACAAGCUUGAUUUUAAUCAGUGCAUGUUGGGUUUUUUUUUAAAUAAAAGAAUUUUUUUUUUUUUUAAAAUGAUUUGUCAUGAUAAAUUUAGACCAUCAAUCCUGAUCCAUAUUCAUGCAUUAUAUAUAGCAUGCUACAUAGUAAUGGGGUGUGAAAUGGAUUUUGAUGAAUUAAUGUGUAUUUUACUAUGAAUUUUAUAUGAAAAAUUUACAAUUAUUAUGUAAGUCAACUGAAUUUUGUUAUUAUAAAAACCCAAAGAAAACAAUUAUAAUGUAAGUUUUCUUAUUUUAAAAGUAUUUUUAAAUUAAUUUUACUUUAUAUGAGUUAGUAUAUUUGUUUCGAAUUAAUUUCUAAUGCAUGUCUAUAUAAUAUAAUAUUUGUUAAUAAUUUGCCCCCUCAUUUAUAAAACUCUGGCUCCGCCACUGUUUAUUUACAACAUUGGUUAAUUACAAUUAGUACAAUGAUAUCAAUUUCUUCUCUUAUACUAAAAUAAUGAUACCAAUUCUAGAUAUUAUAUGUGAAUAAUGUUAGGGUAUGUAUGAAAAAUACUAAAAAAAAAGAUAGGUUAAUUUGGUCAUCCUAUAAAAUUAUAUAUGGAGUGAGAUUAAAACUUAAGGAAUGGGAAUAGCACUGCACAAAAUAUCAAUGAUAUUUAUUAUUUAUAGUAUAUGGUCAAUGAAGUGUCAUGAUUUAUCGAGUGAUUUCCAAUGAAAUUUGGAGCACAUACCAGCUUAAUUCUAAAUUUGCUAGAAGAAUUAUUUGAUUUUUGAACAAAUUCAUAGGCAGUUAUGCACAAUCUACUCUUUUUUUCUUAAAAAAAAAUUUGUAUAAAGUGAUAAAAUGUGUUUCACUGUAUGAAUUUCAUUCAUAACUUUUGUAUUCAGUAUAUUCAAGUGAGUUAUUCAUCAAUACACCUGCCUUUAUAUAGCAGUAGGUAGUAUAAAGCUUUCCUUGACUUCUACGGAAAGAACCUAUAAUUGUGGUCUGUUAUAACAAAUUCUAACUGAUAUAAUAAUAUUCUGCCUAAGUAAUAGUAAUGUAAAACUAACAUAAUGUUAACACCCCUUCUCAAAUUGGUGCAUAGAUAUCAUUCAUGCCCAAUUUGUCAAGACUGGUAUGAAAAACUUGACUGGAUACUGCUUUUGUCAGCACAUCUGCAAGCUGAUCUUGAGAUCGAAUAUGUGGAACUUCGAUAAUCUUUGCCUCCAAUUUUUCUUUGAUUAAAAUGUCUAUCAACUUCAACAUGUUUAGUUCUAUCAUGUUGGACAGGAUUAUGAGCAAUGUCGCAUGCCGCCUUACUAUCACAAAACAAUCUCAUAGGACUUAUCUGCUCAACCUGCAAUUCCUGCAUCAAAUUCUUUAUCCAUAAUAAUUCACAUAUCGCUUUGGCCAUUCCCCUGUAUUCAGCUUCGGCUGAGGAUCUGGCCACAACUUCUUGUUUCUUACUUCGCCAAGUGACCAAGUUGCCACCCACAAAUGUAAAAUAUCCUGAUGUAGAUCUUCGAUCCUGUAUUGACCCUGCCCAAUCAGCAUCGGUAUAUCCAUCAAUCUUCAGAUUGUCCCCCUUUUUAAAUAGAAUUCCUUUACCUGGAGAUGAUUUCAGGUAGCGCAGGAUACGGGUGACAACUUUCAUAUGUUCUUCACUAGGGGAGUGCAUAAACUGACUAAUUACACUUAAAGCAUAAGCUAAAUCAGGUCUAGUAUGUGCAAGAUACAUUAAUCUUCCCACUAGUCUUUGAUAACGUUCUUUAUUAGUGGGAAUUUGUUGUGGAUGUAUGCUCAGUUUCAGGUUUUCUUCUAUAGGAGUACUGACAGGACUACAGGCUGUCAUACCUGUUUCUUUUAACAAAUCUAGAGCAUAUUUUCGUUGAGACAAGAAAAUACCUUCUUUCGAUCUUGAUACUUCAAUACCAAGAAAGUAUUUUAAGUGACCUAGAGAUUUCAUUUCAAAUUCCUGGGCAAGGAGAUUCUGUAAUGUUUUCUGCUCUUCAGGAUUAUUUCCAGUUACUAUCAUAUCAUCAACGUAUACAAUUAGAGCUGCGAUUUCUCCUUCUUUUUUUGUCUUCAAGAAUAACGUAUGGUCAGAGUUGCUUUGCUUGUAUCCGAUGGAUUUCAUGAAAGUAGUGAACCUCCCAAACCAAGCUCUUGGAGAUUGCUUUAACCCGUAUAGGGAUUUCUUUAAUCUACAUACUUUUGUGCUUCCUUUGAUUUGCAUAAUACAUCCAGGAGGUAAUUUCAUAUAUACUUCUUCUUGGAGAUCCCCAUGCAAGAAGGCGUUUUUUACAUCAAGUUGAUAUAAGGGCCAAUCAAGGUUCACGGCCAGAGAUAAUAGGAUACGAACAGUGUUUAUUUUAGCCACCGGUGCAAAUGUUUCCAUAUAAUCAAUGCCAUAAGUUUGAGUGUACCCUUUGGCAACGAGCCUUGCUUUAAACCUUUCAAUGAUGCCAUUUGCUUUAUGUUUAAUGGUAAACACCCACCGACAUCCAACCGGUACCUUUCCUGCAGGGAGGUCAACCACUUCCCAUGUGGAAUUUUUUUGAAGGGAUCUCAUUUCUUCGUUCAUGGCUUCUUUCCAUCUUGAAUCUGUUAUGGCUUCCUGCACACUGUUAGGAAUAGAUACAGCAGAUAUUUGAUUUACGAAAGUUUCAUUAUCCUUUGAUAAUCUGUGGUAGGACACAAAAUUACUCAUAGGAUAAUGAGGUUUAGAGGUGAGAAGAGGUUCAUACGCAGUUUUAGGUUUUCCUCUCGUGGUUCUGUGGGGUAGAAUUUUGAGUUGAGUUUCAGAACUUACUUGAGGUUUAUUUAUGGAUUCAGACUCAGGAGUCAUCUGAAGUGGUACCUGAGUUUCUUGUUGCAGUACCUCUAUUUGGUUUUCUUCAAUGGUUUGUUGUGGUUCUGCUUCUAUAUUUUCUUCAUCAUUUCCAUACGAGGAUGUAUUACUAGAAUUUUUAUCUUUUGUAAUAUAUAGGUCAUCAUAGCAUGUCUGCCAGUUACCUUUGUCGUGCUCCUGUUUUGAAGUUUCAACAUCAGAGUAAUACAUUCUGUUUUCAUGGAAUACAACGUCCAGCGUGAUGUAGAGUUUCUGAGUUGGUGGAUGAUAGCAGCGAUAGCCUUUUUGAUGCUGGGCAUAGCCAACAAAUAUGCACUUGAGUGCUCGUGGUUCCAGCUUAUUCCUUAAUGGUUUGUGAAUAUGAACAAAUGCUGUACAACCAAAGACUCUUAGUUGUAAAUGUGACACAGCAGGAGAUUUUAUUUUCUUCUGAAGAACACUCAAUGGGGUCUGAAAUCCUAAUGUGCUUGAGGGUAUUCUGUUGAUAAUAUAUGUUGCUGUUGUGAUAGCUUCACCCCAAUAUUUAGUUGACAUAUGAGCUUCAAAUAAAGAAGCUCGAACAACUUCAAGAAGAUGCCGGUUCUUACGUUCUGCAACCCCGUUUUGCUGAGGGGUGUAAGGGCAAGUGGUUUGGUGAACAAUUCCAUGAUUAAUUAGAUAUUGUUUCAACUCCUGAUUGAUGAAUUCUCCACCAUUGUCACUACGAAGAACCUGUAUUGCAGAGCUAUAUUGUGUGGCUACCAUGUUAUGAAAUUGUUUGAAUAAUGAACUUACUUCACUUUUGCAUUUCAUUAGGCAAAUCCAUGUCAUACGUGUGUGAUCAUCAAUAAAGGAAAUAAACCAUCGUUUACCAUUAAGGAGCAAGUGUUUGCUGGACCCCAUACGUCUGAAUGCACAACCAUAAAAGGUGCUGGACUUUUAUGCAUGCUGUUUUGAAAUGAAACCCGAUGGCUUUUAGCCAAUUCACAGACAUCACAUUUAAAUUCUGUGUCAGGUAACUGAGCAAAGAGUUUCGGCAUUAAUUUUUUCAAAUAUCCAAAGGAUGAGUGACCUAAACGUUUAUGCCAUAACCAAAUUCAGAGUUUGUAGUAGAUUCAAAGUUUGCAGCGGAUUUAUUCAUGGAGAAUGCUUGAGCCAUUUGCUGACAACUUGCUGGUGUUAAAUCCAGAUAAUAGAGCUUUCCUCUUCUAGUACCAUAACCAAUUGUCUUCCGAGUUCGAAUAUCCUUGAAAACACAAAGGUUAGGCCAAAAAUAACAAUGCAUUGCAAAGCAAGAGUUAUUUGAGCAACUGAAAGUAAAUUAUAAUUAAGGGUUGGAACAACUAAUACGGAAUCAAGAUUUAUAUUUUCAGUAAGGUGACAGAACCUUCCCAUUAACAGAUGAUGAGGUACCAUUUGCUGAGGAUAUAACAUAUUGUUUUGAUGGUUUAACGGAUUGAAGCCACAGCUUGUCAAACGUCAUAUGGUCAGUAGCUCCAGAGUCAAUUAUCCAUUCAUUUCUACUGUUAAGAGUGCAAGUAUGAAAAACUUUACCAGUUUCUUCGUUUGUGACUGAUGAAGGGUGUUCUGCCAUAGAUUCUGUUUGAGCCGUGGGGCUGGUCAUUGUUGAAGGAUGAUCUGCCACUCGAUGAUCUGCCACUGCAACUAAAGCAUGUGUGUUUGGUUUUGAUUUUCGUUUACGAGGAGCUUUAGCAGGAUCCCACCAUUCUGGAUACCCAAUCAGCUCAUAACAUCUCAGUUUUGUAUGUCCAGUCUCACCACAAUGUGUGCAGAUAUAUUCUGAUUUUCCUUUUCAAUAGCUGCUAUUCUGGGUUUCUGAUGUUCGGUUUUGUUCAAUGGUAGGGCCAUGUGAUCUGUAUAUUCUAGGCUUACCUCGUCGUGCCAUCAUUGCAGAUGAUUCAGCAUGACCAACUCCAGUUUCAUUCAUCAAUGUAGCUCUGCGAACAGCAUCACGGCGUACAUAAGAAUAGGCUUCUUCAAGAUCCAAUAUCGGAUCUUUUCUAAGAAUUUCCCCUUGAAUUUGUUCAAAUUCUGCAUCCAAUCCAUUCAAGAAAAUAUGCACCCGUAACCUUUCAACAGAUUUUCUGUAAGUAAUAACAUCAUCCGGGUCUUUCAUUUCAGUUUUGUCGCGAUGAUCAAGUUCUUGAAAGAUUUCUAUAAGAUCACCAAAAUAUGUUGAUAAUGGUCGACUUAUCUGUUUCGUGGAGAAGGCUUUCUGGUUAAGUGAGAAGAGCUGCGUUUCAUCUGAUCCAUCGUAGAAGGCUUUAGACAAGGCUUUCCAAAUUUCUCUUGCAGUAUGUAGUCUGAUGUAUCUUUUCAUGAUUUCUGGUGACAUAGAUGUUAGCAGCCAUCCUUUAACCUUUUGAUUCUCUGCGUACCAUCUUGAAUAAGAAGCAUCAGUAUCUUGUGGUGGUUGUGUUUUGCCCAUAAUAUAUUCAAGCUUUUCUCUUCCUGCAAUCUGCAUUUCUAUGAUCUGAGACCAUACAUCGUAAUUAGUUUCAGUGAGGAUAACACUGGUUGUGAAUCCAGAGUUUUCAGUUUGUACAUGGAUAAUGGGUGUUGAUUCUGGUGUUUUAUCAUUCAUCAUGGAAGGGAAAAACAAACAAGAAUGAUAGGAAACAGAAAGUAUUCAAUAUGAUACGAAAGAUUGCAGACAGUUUUCUUUCAAGAAGAUGAUCUCAGGAUGCAAGAAAGGUUGUAAGACAAAAGGAUUGCAGACAGUUUUGAUUUCAAUAUGAUACGAGGUUUCAAGAUCAGACUGCAGAAAGUAUUCAAGAACAGAUUGGAAGUUUAGAAUACUCAGGGAGAGGUUUCAAGGUCAGACUGCAGAAAGUAUUCAAGAACAGAUUGCAAGUUUUAGAAUAUUCAAGGAGAGGUUUCAAGAUCAAACUGCAAAAAGUAUUCAAGAACAGAUUGUAAGUUUAGAAUGUAGAAGAGAAGAUCUUUAAGUCGUUCUUUGCAGGAAGUAUUUAAGAAUGUAUGGAUGAAACAGAGUAGAAAACUGAGAAAGAUAUGAUACAGGAAAAGAAAGUUUAAUCAAGAAGAAGAUUUCAAGGGGAAAAAUAUAUCAGUAGUGCUUUUCCGGGCUCUAAUACCAUGAUAAAAUGUGUUUCACUGUAUGAAUUUCAUUCAUAACUUUUGUAUUCAGUAUAUUCAAGUGAGUUAUUCAUCAAUACACCUGCCUUUAUAUAGCAGUAGGUAGUAUAAAGCUUUCCUUGACUUCUACGGAAAGAACCUAUAAUUGUGGUCUGUUAUAACAAAUUCUAACUGAUAUAAUAAUAUUCUGCCUAAGUAAUAGUAAUGUAAAACUAACAUAAUGUUAACAUAAAGAACAACUAAAUAUUUAUUAAAAUUAAGAAAUCAACACAUUAAAUAAAGUUGUAUUGUUCUCUACAACAAAUUGUGGAGACCCCAAAAGAAAAGUGAGAGCGAGAUGUGCUUCCGGGACAUGUUAAAAUUAAGAAAUUAACACGUUAAAAAAACUUUCAAUAUGCCUUGUAUGUUUGAUAUGUAAAUUGACAUAUUUAAUAUCAAUUCAAUCUUGAGUAUGAACCUAUUCUCCAAUGUCACUUUCAUUUGCUCCAAAUGGGAAGAUAAUGCUUGGAUUUUUAUUUUUUUGUCUCGCGUAAAAUUACUUGAAGUUAAAAGAAAAGUCAUGAUGGGUAUUGCGAGGAGAUCGUACAACAAGAAUCGUAAACUCUUGAGGGUAAACAUGUCCGCUAUCCAUGGCUGGUAAUAAGGACGGGGAAAUUAAAGAAUUUUCAUUGAUGGGGCAAAUAGCAUCACGUUUUGUGUUCAAAAACAGGAAAGCUUCCUAAGUCCUAUGGCUGCCGCUGCCCUGCGUUCAUUUGGUGUUGUAUAGCAACAGCAUUUAUUGAUCUGUAUUAGAUUCCAGAGUAAUACCAAACAAAAAUAGCAGAGCUCAUGGCUAUAUGGCCUUUGAGUGAUAUCCUGCUAGUGCAGCUUUUGAUCAUGUUAUCUCCUGCAUACCUCCUAGAAGCUCAAACUUAUUACUCCAGAGCACCAAAAUACACAUCAUGGACAAACAAUUUGUCCAUUCCAGCGAGAGGCUUUGAUUCCUACCAAAUGAUCUUGUUGAGUGAGUCUGGGUCUUUUGCUUGUGGAUUUCACUCCAAAGACCAGGAAAAUGAUUCCUUUUAUUUUGCAGUAUUAUCACUCCAUGUAACAUAUUAUGCAGAUGAUAGUUAUUCUUUCACUCUUCAGAAUGUCAUAUGGUUGGCAAAUGAAAAUAAGCCUGUUGGACGGAACGCAACUCUAAAGUUACUUCCAGAAGGAAAUUUGGUUCUGAGAGAUGCAGAUGGAGCUUUAGUCUGGUCUACCAACACGUCUAACAUGUCUGUUGCAGGUAUAAAGAUGAUGAAAACAGGAAUGCUUGUGCUUCAAGACCACAAUAAUAAGACUGUGUGGCAAUCUUUUAGUAAUACAGCACAUGUGUCCACUUCAUGGACGAAUAAUGAUCCCAUAUCAGCCAUGCCUUAUAAUCUAUAUAAAAUAAUCAUGAUGCACGGAGCUGGUUUUUCUUGUGGAUUUCACUCCAAGGACCGGAAUUCCUUCUAUUUUGCAAUAUGGAAGCUAUCGGAAGUUUCUGGAGAUGAUGAUCCGGAGGCCUUAUGGUUAGCGAACAGAAACAGGCCUGUUGGUGAGAACGCAACUUUACAAUUUUUACCAGAUGGAGAUUUGGUCUUGAGAGAUGCCGAUGGAACUUUCGUUUGGUCUUCUAACACAUCUAGCAUGUCUGUUGCGGGUAUGAGGAUGAUGGAAACUGGAAACCUUGAGCUUUAUGAUGUCAAUAACAAGACUGUUUGGAAUUCAUUUGAUCAUCCUUCUGAUGUACUGCUUCUUGGGAACAAAUUAGUGGCAGGACAGAAGCUGGUGGCAAGUGUUUCGAAAACUAAUAGAUCUGAAGGUGUCUUCAGCCUCUCUGUGAUCCUACAAGGUUUGUUUGCUUCUUACCAAGCUACUGCGCCACAAAAGUACUUCAAAUUCUCAGUUUUGGGGGGCAUAGACAGCCUCCAACUAAGUCAUGAUGAAUCCUCUGGUAAUCUUGCUUUACUUAUAAUGUCAGCUUCACCUGAUGAGCCGAAUACAAUGCUUACAAGCACCAUUAAAUACUCAGCGACGGCUUACAUGAAAUUUGAUCCUGAUGGGCAUCUCAGAAUUUAUGAUGGCAACAUGAUCGACGGGGUUGAUCUGUUGACAGAUAUGAGUGCAUGUGAUUACCCAACAGCUUGUGGUAAUUAUGGGAUGUGCUUAAAUGGACAGUGCUCGUGCCCAGCAGGAUUUGCUCGAGCCAAUACCCCAAAUGAUCAAGGCAACUACAAUUGCUGGCAGAUGAGUCCAACCACAUGUGAAAAUCCAAAAUCCCAUUCUCUUCUUCCCCUGGAAGAUGUCUACUAUUUCAAUUAUGUUGACCCUGAGGCAGCGGUCCUGAAAGGAACAGACAUGAAGAGUUGUAAAGAUGCAUGUUUGAAAAACUGUUCAUGCAACGCUGCUCUAUUUCAGUAUUACUUUAAUGAUUCUCAUGGGAAUUGUUUUUUGCCCUCACCAGUUCUUACACUAACGGGUGAUGGUAAGGAAAGAAACAGUUACCAUUCUAAUGCCUUCAUCAAAACUUCUAAUGAUGGAGAGAAUGGAAGUGCUUUUACAUCUUCUAUCAAUCCUACAUCUUCUAUCAAUCCUAAAAUAAUAGCAGGAUCAACUAUUGGAGCCAUCCUUGUUAUGAGUUUAAUUGGUGGUCUAUGUAUUAUGGUUUGGAGGAAGAAAAGAGAUCGAGAGGAAGGAAUGGAAGACUUGAAUCAACUAUCAGGAAUGCCCAUGAGAUUCACAUACCAAGAACUAAGAGUGGCAACUUGGGAUUUUGAGAAGAAGCUUGGAGGAGGAGGGUUUGGAUCAGUUUUUGAAGGAAUUCUAGAAAAUGGAGAAAAAAUUGCAGUAAAGCGCCUAGAUGCUUUAGGCCAAGGGCAGAAGGAAUUCUUGGCUGAGGUCAAAAGUAUAGGAAGCAUCCAUCAUGUCAGCCUGGCGAGGCUAAUUGGAUUCUGUGCUGAUAAAUUGCACACGCUUUUAGUCUAUGAGUUCAUGUGCUGUGGGUCUUUGGAUAAGUGGAUUUUCUGCAGGGAACCACUACUACAUCCUCUGGACUUCCAAACUAGAAGAAACAUUAUCAUGGAUGUAGCAAAGGGGCUGGCCUAUCUCCAUGAAGAAUGCAGACAAAGAAUAGUCCACUUAGACAUCAAACCACAAAACAUUUUGUUGGAUGAAAAUCUGCAUGCUAAGAUCUCUGAUUUUGGCUUGUCUAAGUUGAUUGACAGGGAUCAAAGUCAAGUGGUGACCACAAUGAGAGGAACUCCUGGGUACUUGGCUCCUGAAUUAUUCAGCUCAGUCAUCACAGAGAAGGCAGAUGUUUAUAGUUUUGGAAUCGUAGUCAUGGAAGUUGUCUGCGGAAAGAAAAAUCUGGAUAGGUCACAGCCUGAGUGCAUGCAUUUGCUCCCUAUUCUUAUGAAGAGGGCACAGGAGGAUCAAUUGAUUGAUAUGGUUGACAAUAGCUGUGAGGAUAUGCAAUUGCACAGGUUAGAAGCUGCGGAGAUGAUGAGGGUUGCUAUUUGGUGUCUGCAAAGUGAUCACACCAGGAGGCCUAGCAUGUCAACCGUGGUUAAGGUCUUAGAGGGCACCAUGGGUGUUGAAGCAGACCUAGACUAUUGCCUUCAGAAUGCAACAACAAUGGCAGCAAUAAGAAGAGAGGCAGUGCUGGGCAGUACUACCACAUUUCUGCCAUCACUACUAUCAGGACCAAGGUGAAGAAAGAUCUUUUGCGAAAUAUAUGUGGUGUUUAUGUUUCUCUGAUAGGUGUUUUACCUUCAGUUCUCUUUAUAUCGCUAGUGUAAUGUUAUCUGGGAAAUUGUUCAAUUAGCAUAAAGUGUGAUUCUUUAAAGCCAAGACAUGCAAUCAGUUUUCAGUUGAGUUUUUGAGGUAAAGAAUUACUUUUAUAGCCAACAAAGAGCCAAAUAUACAUGAUUCCGGUGAACAUAUUACUAUCAAUGUCAUAACCUAAUUUUUGACCCUUUUAUUUUAAUUUUAUUUACUGAAAAUGAUAAAAAGAAAAAUGAUGAAAAAAAUAAUAAUAAUGAUGAUGAAAAAAAAUAAUACAAAUGAAAUAAACGAAGAACGAAUUAAAAUUUGGGUUAAGGGCAACAUGAUUGGAAGUUUAAAGAUAUAAUUAAAUUUUUUGACUUGUUUAAUUAAUCAAAUCAACGGUUUAAUUGAAGAAUUGAUAAAUUUUAAAACUUAAUUAAGAUUGAAAUUAAUUUAAUUAAUCAAAUUAAGGGUUUAAUUGAAGAAUUGAUCAGUUUUGAGACUUAAUUAAGCUUGAAAUUGAUUUAAUUCAUCCAAUCAAGAGUUUAAUUGGAGAAUUGAUGAGUUUUGAGACUUAAUUAAGCCUAGAAUUAAUUUAAUUAAUCCAAUCAGGGGCUUAAUUGAAGAAUUGGUAAGUUUUAGACUUAAUUGGACUUUGGAUUUAAUUAAAUUAAUGAAAUCAGGGACUUAAUUGAAGAAAUAACAAAGUUUGGGGUUAAUUGGGGGCACAAUUACAACAGAUUAAAGUCCAAGGACUAACUUGUAAAAGGAGCCGAAAUGCAGGGAAAAUUACAGUUUAAACCAGGGGCUUAAUUAUAGCAGUUUCGAUACUUCACGGGUCAAAACAAAAAUGGCCACCUCAUAUUCCAAAACGGCGUCGUUUGAAAAAGCGUUGUUCAUCUUCUUCGCAGGAGCCGUUGCUGGAGUAAAGGGUGGAAGCCGUUUCAAAUGCUUGGCAUUCUCUGGCUAUAAAGCCAGAGAAGAUGAGAGAGCGCAGGGAGAAAAAAAAAAGGGCAGAACUGAGGGGCUGAGGGGGAGAGAGAGAAAACAGAGCCACGAAUGGCAGAAAAUGAGGAAUCACAGAACUGGGGGAGACAAAUGGAGAGAAACCGAACAAGGGAAAAUUUUGGUCCAUCAACCAACAGCAGCUCGUGCUUUCACCACCAUUGUCUCCGUCUUGAAUGGAGAAGAUCGGACAAAGAACUAGAAAAGGGAACAAAGCGGAGGAGAGGAAGUAACACUGGGAACACCACAAGACGCGAGAACAGAGAUAAUACAGAGAAGACAAGCAAAAACAGAGGAGGCCAUGAACGAGCAGAAAACAGAGGAACACAGAAAAAAGCAGAAAAGGCGGUGGGCACGGUAGCAAAGGAAAGCAGAAGGCAAGGUCAGACGCAAACGGGAGGCACCACCGCGAUGCAACCAUCUUCGUCGUCUCCAAAAGCAAGUACACCCAUUCUAGUUUUAUUCUCUGUGUUCAAUAAAACAUUGAACACAGUGUGAAGGUAAUUUAAUUACCUUCACACUGUGUGCAUCAUGCCCAGCAGGGUCACUGGCUCGAGCCAGUGACCGGGCUGGGCUGGCUGGAUCUAGCCCAUCCCAUGUGGGUUGAGCUGGGCCCAGCCCAAAAAAAUAAAGAAUAAAAAAAUAAAAAAACAGAAAAAUAAAAAAAGUAGAAAAAAUAAAAAAUGUGCAUGCAUGAAUAAAAAUAAUAUAAAUUUAUUGGUUUAUUCACUAACGCUAGAGUUAGGAAUAAAAAUACCGGUUUAAAUUUAUAUUAUUUUUAUUCCUUGUAUUUUAUUUUAUUUAGCUAGAAAAAAAAAAUAUGUGCAUGCGUAAAAAUAAAUUUAUUUUUGUUUAUUUAUUCACUGGCGCUAGAGUAGGGAAUAAAAAAUAUUGAUCUAAUUUUUUUUCUUAGCUACGAAUUUUUACCAGCGCUAGAGUUGGAAUUAUUCGAGCUCGAAUAUUCACUGGCGCCAGAGUCAGGAAUAUUAUAAACAAAUUAUAAUAGCAUAAGCGAAUAAAUGUUUAGCAAUUGAAGACAGAACCAACAAUGCAGUUUGCCUUAGGCAGAACGUUUAAGGGGUGAUAAUAUCUUUCCUUUUACGUAACUAGUUUCGAAUCAUAGAAUCUUUGUUGACCAGUUAGGAUUUCUAGUGACCAUAAUACUAGGUGUCGACUCCUCAAAUAAGAUAUUUUUCUUAAAAGAACAAGAUACCAAAUAUCUGUUCUUUUUUCUUAAAUCAAGAUAAUUUUUAGAACCACUGCGAUGUUGGGUGUGACAAUCAACAUUGUGCUUAUUCUUUUCAGAACAAUAACAAAGCUUUAGUGAAGAGUGAAGAAGUGUUUCCUGCACAAUAAUAGUGAAUGAAAACUAGACCAAAGUGAGUUCAUGUUAGAUACUAUUGUAUGAGUGCUUAAGUAGUUAAGGAUGAGAUAUCUCUCAAGCUGUCAAAAAAAAAAACUUUUACUUGAGAAGAUCGAUAAUCUUAUUUUUUAAACCAUGUAUGAAAAAAAAGGUGAGUGAAGGCCUUAUGAUGUCGAGUGAAGGCCUUAUGAUGUCGAGUGAAGAGUCCAUUUUCAUGAAGUUAAAUUGAUAAUUAGAGUAUUAUACUAGAGAGAAACGUGAACACUAUUUAUAAGUGGCGUGCAUGUCAUCUAAUUGAGUGAUUAUGUGAAUAAAAGUGUUUACAUAGUCAAUGAUGAAUUAUUGGCUAGAACGAGCAUGGAAACAAGUGUCAAUUGACUUUUAUGGAUAUUUCCCUAUCAUAAAUUAAAAAGCUAGAUAAACUAUUGAAUGAGAUGACUGUUCUCUUACGAAAAUUCUAAAGGAAAAGCAUCGUCGAAUAUGAGUCAAUUUUCCACGCCUGUCAUUCUCGUUCUCGGCUGUUGGGUCUAUAAUGGCUGCAUGCCGUAUUGCUUGACGAGGACUAUUUAAGUAUUAUUCUCGACCUUUUAUUUAUUUAUUUUGGAUUUUUUCUGCUGGUGGGUCUAUAAUAUUUUUUUUUAUAACCGAAGUCUGUAAACAGAAACAUUUUAUUUAUUUUCCGCGUCAAGAAAGUCAAGUAACUCAGUCACCCACUUUUUUUAAACUCCCACUGCACUAGAUCUCGCUCCUUCUGCUGUGAAUCCAAUUCCAAAUAUUUAUGGAGAAAAAAAAUAUUAAUCUUUAUUUACAACGUUGGUUAAUUACAAUUAGUACAAUGAUAUCAAUUUCUUCUCUUAUACUAAAAUAAUGAUACCAAUUCUAGAUAUUAUAUAUGAAUUAUGUUAUGUUAUGUAUGAAAAAUACUAAAAAAGAGAUAGGUUAAUUUGGUCAUCCCAUAAAACUAUAUAUGGAAUGAGAUUAAAACUUAAGGAAUGGGAAUAGCACUGCACAAAAUAUUAAUGAUAUUUAUUAUUUAUAGUAUAUGGUCAAUGAAGUGUCAUGAUUCAUCGAGUGAUUUCCAAUGAAAUUUGGAGCACAUACCAGCUUAAUUCUAAGUUUGCUAGAAGAGUUAUUUGAUUUUCGAACAAAUUCAUAAGCACUUAGGCACAAUCUACUCUUUUUUUCUUAUUAAAAAAAUUGUAUAAAGAACAACUAAAUAUUUAUUAAAAUUAAGAAAUCAACACAUUAAAUAAAAUUGUAUUGUUCUCUACAACAAAUUGUGGAGACCCCAAAAGAAAAGUGAGAGCGAGAUGUGCUUCCGGGGCAUGUUAAAAUUAAGAAAUUAACACGUUAAAAAAACUUUCAAUAUGCCUUGUAUGUUUGAUAUGUAAAUUGACAUAUUUAAUAUCAAUUCAAUCUUGAGUAUGAACCUAUUCUCCAAUGUCACUUUCAUUUGCUCCAAAUGGGAAGAUACUGCUUGGAUUUUUAUUUUUUUGUCUCACGUAAAAUUACUUGAAGUUAAAAGAAAAGUCAUGAUGGGUAUUGCGAGGAGAUCAUACAACAAGAAUCGUAAGCUCUUGAGGGUAAACAUGUCCGCUAUCCAUGGCUGGUAAUAAGGACGGGGAAAUUAAAGAAUUUUCAUUGAUGGGGCAAAUAGCAUCACGUUUUGUGUUCAAAAACAGGGAAGCUUCUAUGGCUGCUGCUGCACUGCGUUCAUUUGGUGUUGUAUAGCAACAGCAUUUAUUUAUCUGUAUUCCAUUCCAGAGUAAUACCAAACAAAAAUAGCAGAGCUCAUGGCUAUGUGGCCUUUGAGUGAUAUCCUGCUAGUGCAGCUUUUGAUCAUGUUAUCUCCUGCAUGCUUCCUAGAAGCUCAAACUUCUUACUCCACAGCCCAAAAUUAUUACCCAUCAUGGACAAACAAUUUGUCCAUUCCAGCGAGAGGCUUUGAUUCCUACCAAAUGAUCUUGUUGAGUGAGUAUUGGUCUUUUGCUUGUGGAUUUUACUCCAAAGACCAGGAAAAUGAUUCCUUUUAUUUUGCAGUUGUAUCACUCAACCAAACAUAUGCAGGAGCUAUUGUUAAUUUCACUCUUCAGCAUGUCAUAUGGUUGGCAAAUGAAAAUAAGCCUGUUGGACGGAACGCAACUCUAAAGUUACUUCCAGAAGGAAAUUUGGUUCUGAGAGAUGCAGAUGGAGCUUUAGUCUGGUCUACCAACACGUCUAACAUGUCUGUUGCAGGUAUAAAGAUGAUGGAAACAGGGAUGCUUGUGCUUCAAGACCACAAUAAUAAGACUGUGUGGCAAUCUUUCAGUAAUACAGCACAUGUGUCCACUUCAUGGACGAAUAAUGAUCCCAUAUCAGCCAUGCCUUUUAAUCUAUUUAAAAUAAUCAUGAUGCACGGAGCUGGUUUUUAUUGUGGAUUUCUCUCCAAGGACCGGAAUUCCUUCUAUUUUGCUAUAUGGAAGAAGAAGUCGGAAUAUUCUGGAGAUGAUGAUCCGGAGGCCUUAUGGUUAGCAAACAGAAACAGGCCUGUUGGUGAGAACGCAACUUUACAAUUUUUACCAGAUGGAGAUUUGGUUCUGAGAGAUGCUGAUGGAGCUUUCGUUUGGUCUACUAACACAUCUAACAUGUCUGUUGCGGGUAUGAGGAUGAUGGAAACUGGAAACCUUGAGCUUCAAGACCACAAUAAUAAGAUUGUGUGGCAAUCUUUUAGUAAUACAGCACAUGUGUCCGCUUUAUGGACGAAUAAUGAUCCCAUAUCAGCCAUGCCUUAUAAUCUAUAUAAAAUAUUCAUGAUGCACGGAGCUCCUUUUUCUUGUGGAUUUCACUCCAAGGACCGGAAUUCCUUCUAUUUUGCAAUAUGGAAGCAAUCGGAAGUUUCUGGAGAUGAUGUUCCGGAGGCCUUGUGGUUAGCAAACAGAAACAGGCCUGUUGGUGAGAACGCAACUUUACAUUUUUUACCAGAUGGAGAUUUGGUCUUGAGAGAUGCUGAUGGAACUUUCGUUUGGUCUACUAACACAUCUAGCAUGUCUGUUGCGGGUAUGAGGAUGAUGGAAACUGGAAACCUUGAGCUUUAUGAUGUCAAUAACAAGACUGUUUGGAAUUCAUUUGAUCAUCCUUCUGAUGUACUGCUUCUUGGGA
This 26926-nucleotide long non-coding RNA is filed under the name Populus tremula. RNAcentral describes it as "long non-coding RNA (PTRE_LNC002144)". The record is from RNAcentral. Lineage: Eukaryota; Viridiplantae; Streptophyta; Magnoliopsida; Malpighiales; Salicaceae.